AGGGAGGCAGCAGGCGCGCAACUUACCCACUCCCGGCACGGGGAGGUGGUGACGAAAAAUAUCGAUGCGGGACUCUUUCAGAGGCCCCGUAAUCGGAAUGAGUGAACUAUAAAUCCUUUGACGAGGAUCAAUUGGAGGGCAAGUCUGGUGCCAGCAGCCGCGGUAACUCCAGCUCCAAUAGCGUAUAUUAAAGUUGCUGCAGUUAAAAAGCUCGUAGUUGGAUCUCGGUAGCACUGAGGCCUGUCGGUGUUGUGCAGUUCGGCUAUCGAUGCAUGGGCGCUGCCUGUGUUGUCGUGGUUGGCUGUUGCAAGCUGUCAUGGUGUUGGUGUCGCCUUUCAGCCAUGUCUGUGGUGCAAUAUCCACAGGUGUAGGCGAGUGUCAGGCGGUGCUUUGCAACUGCAAGGUCCGUCGGCUCGUUUGCAUGCCUUCGGAUGCCCUUCAAAAGGUGUCUAAAGGCGGAUGGCACGUUUACUUUGAACAAAUUUGAGUGCUCAAACCAGGCCGCAGUUGCCUGAAAAGUUUUGCAUGGAAUAAUGGAAUAGGACUUCGGUUCUAUUUUGUUGGUUUUCGGAUCCGAAGUAAUGAUCAAAAGAGACAGGCGGGGACGUUUGUAUGGCUGCGCUAGAGGUGAAAUUCAUGGACCGUAGCCAGACAAACUAAAGCGAAAGCAUUCGUCAAGCAUGUUUUCAUUGACCAUGAGCGAAAGUCAGAGGCUCGAAGACGAUCAGAUACCGUCCUAGUUCUGACCAUAAACGAUGCCAACUGACGAUCCGUGGUGGUAGUCUAUUCACCUUCCCCACGGGCAGCCCCCGGGAAACCUUUAAGUCUUUGGGUUCCGGGGGAAGUAUGGUUGCAAAGCUGAAACUUAAAGGAAUUGACGGAAGGGCACCACCAGGAGUGGAGCCUGCGGCUUAAUUUGACUCAACACGGGAAAACUCACCCGGGCCGGACACUAUGAGGAUUGACAGAUUGAUAGCUCUUUCUUGAUUCAGUGGUUGGUGGUGCAUGGCCGUUCUUAGUUGGUGGAGCGAUUUGUCUGGUUAAUUCCGAUAACGAACGAGACUCUGGCCUGCUAAUUAGUUCAUCUGUCCACUGUUCCUGUGUAGGCGGCGUUCAACACGGCUGCUGCCGUACGCUGUUGUAGGCUUGUCUGUCCUCUCGGGGGCAGGCUGGUUUGCAAUGGUUGGUGGUGGCUUGCUUGGCGUUAGCUUCCGGGUACGGCGCGGAUGUUUACUUCUUAGAGGGACAAUCGGAAGAAACCGCACGAGAUAGAGCAAUAACAGGUCUGUGAUGCCCUUAGAUGUCCGGGGCCGCACGCGCGCUACAAUGACGGUGGCAACGAGUCAGACCUUCUGGCCCGAAAGGGUUGGACAAACUGGUCAAUCACCGUCAUGACAGGGAUCGGGGCUUGUAAUUGUUCCCCGUGAACGAGGAAUUCCUAGUAAGUGCAAGUCAUAAGCUUGCGCUGAUUACGUCCCUGCCCUUUGUACACACCGCCCGUCGCUACUACCGAUUGAAUGGUUUAGUGAGGUCCUUGGAUCGGCGCCAUUGUGGCUAUUGCCGAAAGGUGAUAGUCCGAC
Molecule: ribosomal RNA, 1580 nt
Filed under: Anthocephalum hobergi
Lineage: Eukaryota; Metazoa; Platyhelminthes; Cestoda; Rhinebothriidea; Anthocephaliidae
Description: SSU rRNA
Rfam family: Eukaryotic small subunit ribosomal RNA
Source: RNAcentral